Molecule: long non-coding RNA, 480 nt
Organism: Dermacentor andersoni
Lineage: Eukaryota; Metazoa; Arthropoda; Arachnida; Ixodida; Ixodidae
Source: RefSeq, a predicted model, not a curated record
CCUUGCGCGCUGUUUGCUUGACAGCAUCCUGCGUUUCCGGCUCUCUUUGCGUACUUUUCUGCAACUUUGGAAUAUUCCUGCGUGUUGCUCGCUUUUAUGAGCUUCUUGUUUCCUCGGAGAUCACCAUGACCGCUUCUGACUCAGCCACAUCAAAGCACAGGCGAUACUUUCUUCGUCCUUGUCUACCUAAGAGAGCCCUAGUGGUGAAAAGAAAAUGGCGGAAGGCAAGAAAGACGACUGCAGCGGAAUCCACGUCCUUUGGUGACAAAUCUGAGUUCAAGCAACAUAAGGAACAAGCUACAUUGUCUGUAGGUGCAUCAGCCUGUGGAACUGUCUAAGCCAGCUCCCUGAAUAAUGAAGUGACCAAUCUGUGAUAACAUAAUCAGAAAGAAAAUCUCUAGAAGGUGGAUUAGAAAUAUUUCGCUUAUGUAGUGGUCUUAUUGAUUUUAUUUAUUAAAAAUUCUUUGAAACCUUUGGCCA